Molecule: long non-coding RNA, 1202 nt
Filed under: Musa acuminata (dwarf banana)
Lineage: Eukaryota; Viridiplantae; Streptophyta; Magnoliopsida; Zingiberales; Musaceae
Description: long non-coding RNA (MACU_LNC002211)
Source: RNAcentral
GGGCAUCUUCUCUGCUCUUUGUAUACUCUCUGGAUUAUGCCAGGACCCGGUUAGCUAAUGAUGCUAAGGCUGCCAAGAAGGGAGGUGAAAGGCAGUUCAAUGGCCUUGUUGAUGUUUACAGAAAAACCAUACAAUCUGAUGGUGUUGCGGGUCUCUAUCGAGGCUUCAACAUUUCAUGUGUCGGUAUCAUUGUUUAUCGAGGGCUCUACUUUGGAUUGUAUGAUUCUCUGAAGCCAGUGAUGCUGGUUGGCUCCUUGCAGGUGAGUCAUGAAAGAUAUUGCAGAAACAUGUCCUGAAAAUGCAACUAUUGCUUUCAACCCAAGUUACAUGAUAACAUAUUAGUGCAUCUCUUUAUUGCCUUGAUCGUUUGCUUUACUACUAAGUACACACAUUGAUUCUAGAAUCUAUGUCAGUGUAUGUCAUUUAAAGUUUUCUUUGUUUGGCAGUCAUUACUUUAUCUUGUCAUGGUACCUUAUACCUGUAUAGGUUUCCAUUUAACAAAGGUGCAUUUUACCCAUGACAAAGAAAUGAUGCAACUACAUAUUGAGGGAAUUUUGAGUGCACUGAGAAAUUUUGGCGAGUUACUGAGUAUAAUGCAGUGGGAUUAUUUACAUGCUAUGAUGUAAUUUUGAGCUACUUAGUACUAUGUCUAGAUCAAUCCAUAGUGAGCUACUGGAAUAAGAUCAUUAUUGAUGCAUUGUUUAAUCUAGAUAUGCCCUUUGUAAACAUUGGAUGUUGCCACUUGCAGAAAAUUGAUGCAUAAUAUACUAGAAUGUUAUCUUCAUACCUUCUAAAUCCAGGCUAUGAUGUUAUGAAACAAUUAUCAGUAUCAUAUUCAAAGUUAAAUAAGAGGAAUCUUAUGAUGUGUUUGCCAUUCAGGAUAAUUUCUUUGCAAGUUUCUUGCUUGGUUGGGGAAUUACAAUUGGUGCUAGUCUUGCUUCCUACCCAUUAGACACUGUCCGUCGGAGGAUGAUGAUGACCUCAGGAGAAGCCGUCAAGUACCGGAACUCUAUGGAUGCCUUCUCGCAGAUCGUAAAGAAUGAGGGUGCAAAAUCCCUCUUCAAGGGUGCCGGUGCAAAUAUCCUACGUGCCGUCGCUGGCGCGGGUGUUCUGGCUGGUUAUGACAAGCUCCAGGUGAUCGUCUUGGGAAAGAAGUAUGGGUCUGGUGGUGGUGGCUAAGUUUAUCCAACUUUGCCUUACGA